CCACAACUGAACACAAACGCCAACAUGAACAUCUUGUUCCUCAGUGUAACCUUUAACACUCUUCUGCUUUCAGGUGCCUCUCAGAUGAGCAAAGUCCACCAGAAUCCACCUGAUAUUUACAGAAACCAAGGAGAAAAGGCUGAAUUCACAUGUUCACAUCAAAUCGAUACCUACAACCGGAUCCUCUGGUACAGACAAACAAAGAAUGAUGAGAUGAAGCUCCUGGGAUACAUGAAUAUAAUGAAUCCAUAUAAUGAAGCUGGAGUGCAUGUGAAGAUAGGUGGAGGUGCAAAUAAAGGUGAAACCUGCACAUUAACCACUGAAGAACUCAGCCUGAACAGCAGUGCAGUUUACUUCUGUGCUGCCAGUCAACACAAUCAUACCCUGCACCUGUACUAA
Sphaeramia orbicularis (orbiculate cardinalfish) is the source of this 399-nucleotide non-coding RNA. Lineage: Eukaryota; Metazoa; Chordata; Actinopteri; Kurtiformes; Apogonidae. The record is from the annotation of a RefSeq genome assembly.